UUUAGUCCGGUUUAUGAUUUUUGUUACAAUUCUUGAAUUUUGUCGGCGGAUAUAUAGGGGAUUUCACGCCGGUAUGUACCACGGAGCUCGGUGCGAUGGCUAAAUACGCUCAUGAGUUCGAGAAGAGAGGCGUGAAGCUCCUUGGUUUGUCUUGUGACGACGUACAGUCCCACAAAGACUGGAUCAAAGAUAUCGAAGCCUUUGCGCUCGGAAGCAAGGUGAAGUACCCGAUAAUCGCAGACCCGA
Molecule: non-coding RNA, 246 nt
Organism: Camelina sativa (false flax)
Lineage: Eukaryota; Viridiplantae; Streptophyta; Magnoliopsida; Brassicales; Brassicaceae
Source: RefSeq, a predicted model, not a curated record